AUGUUUUUAAAACCCACAUUUGGUGGAGGAACCAGACUGGAUGUUGGAAGUGAAGCCCGUCCCACCUUGAUGGUUCUGCCCCCUUCCAAUGAGGAGCUGCAGCAGGGGAAGGCCACGCUCGUGUGCCUGGCCAACAAGGGCUUCCCCUCAGACUGGAGUCUGGCCUGGAAGGUGGACGGCAUCAGCGGCGGCAGCUGGGAGGAGAGCAGGGGCCCUGCGGUGAUGGAGCAGGACGCUCGUUACAGCUGGAGCAGCACCCUGAGGCUCUCUGCAGGCCAGUGGACGAAGGUGGGCUCUGUGACCUGUGAGGCCACCCAGGGCUCCCAGACGCUGGUCUCAGAGACACUGAGGAGGGACCAGUGUUCCCAGGACUGA
Labrus bergylta (ballan wrasse) is the source of this 375-nucleotide non-coding RNA. NCBI's taxonomy places the organism in Eukaryota, Metazoa, Chordata, Actinopteri, Labriformes, Labridae. The record is from the annotation of a RefSeq genome assembly.